Molecule: unclassified non-coding RNA, 9177 nt
Filed under: Leishmania donovani
Lineage: Eukaryota; Euglenozoa; Kinetoplastea; Trypanosomatida; Trypanosomatidae
Description: gene:LdHU3.16.1390(CDS-product:hypothetical_prote in_conserved)
Source: RNAcentral
GAGCAUACGCAUCGGUAGCUGUGCGGAUCACACACACACACACACACACACACAGACACAGAGAACAAGCAAAGACGGGAAGGCUCAGCACCGAAGAAAUAGGCAGCAGCGACGUGGGACCACGUGACCCAAACUCGCCGAACAGGACAGCGCGCACGUUCACACAAAGCCUUCCUCUCGGACAACAAGGACAGAAGCUACCAUCUACAUCUAUCUAACAUAUCUAUCUGUCUAUAUAGAUAAAGGAGGAGGGGUGGGGGAGGCUGAUCUGCAGAGUCGUGUGUAGCGCUUCUGUUUGAGUUUGGUUCCUUCGACGACUGCCGCGCUGCGCGUCUUUCUCUCUCGCCCUUUGCAUCGCUUCCUUCUUGGAUUCUCACACCCAUGCGCACGGGUGCGUGUGCAUGCAGAGAGGAAGAAGAGCAGAGGGAGGAGGGGACAUCCUCAUCCAUACAGGACAGAGGUGAUCGGCUUCUCUUUUUCUUUGGCGUUCACACCGUCGGUGCCGCCUCGCUUCCGCUUCUCCGUGGCUGCACGUCCUUCUCGGCACUCCUCAACCCGUGCGCGACCUUUUCUCUUUUUCUUCCGUCUUUCCGGUGCUCUGGCCGUGACUCCUCUCGUGCGGCCACCCCCCCCCCCUCCCCCUCCCCCGCACACCCGAAAGCGGUGUCCCUGUUCCUCGCUUGCUCACACGCACUCUUCGACAACACACACACACACACACGCAUAUAUAUAAACUAUAUAUAACUAUAUAUAUAUAUAGUUAUAUGUAUAUAUGGGUGUGUCUAUAAUCGUUUCCUGAAAUCCCUUUUCAAGUCGCUCCACGUUUGUUGUUGUCCUUCCGUUGCGUCCCGUCGUCUUCUCUGUGCCUGUCUCUGUCUCGCUCUGUGUGUGUGCCGUGGGCUGCUGUCGGCUUCCCCAACAACGCAGUUCACACAUAUAUCCAUAUAUAUAUAUAUAUAUAUAUACACAUAUAUAUCUAUAGAUAGAUACAUAUAUAUUCUGUGCUCUUCCCCCUUUUUUGCGUUUCCUCUGGUGUCCGCUGAGCCACGCCAUUCUUCAUCAUCCGUCGUCGUCUGUUUUCUUUUUCCUGUGCCCACACCCGCCCUGCCCCUACUUACGUUCGCUUCCCUUCGUUUUCUUUCUUCGUUGCUUUCGUCACUGGUGGUGUUGGUGGUGUUGGUGGUGGUGGUGUGUGUGUGUGUGUCCUCGUGUACACCGAUACACACACCUUCACACUUCCUCAGUGAGCCAGCGGUGUCUGCUUUGGGUGUCUGUGUCUGUGUGCGCGACUCACGCGCGACCGCAGGGUUGAUUCACUCACCACUGCUACACCUCCCCCUUUUCUGCUUUCUCUCUUUUUUUCUGUGCGCUCCUCACCGCAGCCCUUCGGACGCCCGCUUCCUCCCCUUCAGCGGCAGCAGCAGCAGAAGGCUCCAGGUGUGCCGUUAUUGUGUUCCUUGCAGAUUGCAGGCCUUCUCCGGCGUUUCCUCCGCACCGAGUUGGAGUGUGGCCUUCCUCAAGACCACCGCGCCCAUCACCAUCCCUGAGCAAAGGCACCCCCACCUCGUGCCAUCUGGAGUGAUGCUACGACAGACCGCAUCGGCUAACGCACACCCGUGCCAAAGGAUAGCACCCAGCACAGCGAUCGAGGAGGCUGGCAACGCGUGCGAGGACGAUAACAGGGAGAACCAAAACAGGAAUGGCGCCAAUCACCACCCUAGAGCCGCAGCCGAUGUGCUUCAGAAACGGAAGGAAGCCCUAGCACCGGCACUGCCAUCUCUGCCUCGGCACGUCACCGAGGGAUCGACCUCACUCUAUUCCUCAUUCUCUAGCAGCGUCUCUUCGCUUGAGAAGCGCGCCGAUGCUGCCGCCGUAGCGAACACCGCUGCGGUCGCCGUCGCUCCGAGCCCGUUCUCCGUGGUAUCUCACAUCCCGACACGGAUGAAUAGUGGCAUGGACAGAGCUGCACUCCUAACACGCGAUCCGCGCUUGUUAAUGCCACCGCUGCGCCACAACGAAACAAACUCAACCGCUGUGUCACCACAGCUGAACGGAGGCGGGAUGGAUGCUACGAUGUCGAGCGAUCAGCUGCAUCUGCUACCCAUCCCAAGGUCGCUCCCCUACACAUCACCAGCGGGGUGCACCCUCGUCGCUGACGUCGGGACCGCUUCCCCACUCUUUAUCGACUUGAACUCGCUUCAACUGACCGGCAUGCUGGAAAGCGCACCUGCUUGUGCCUCUGCUGCUGCGGAAGCCGCAACCGCUGCUGCACCAGCUGCUCAGCCAUCUGUCGUGCCGGUGCCACGGACACCACCGGCGCUAGGCACGCUGGUCGUCGACACGGAUGAACACGCCGGUGCUAGCAUGACACCUCCCACGGAUUCCGCUAUCGGUGGAUCGGCUUCUGCCCCCGUGUCGACAACAGCGGUUGACCGUGUGAAUGGCAAGGCCCACGCCUCACGCAGCUCGCGCACCCAAGUACAUUGCCCGCCCACUGCAGCGGCAGCGCUACCCUUUUACUCCAACGGUGCGAGUGACGGUGUUUCCUUAGCUGACCCUCCCGUUGCGGCGGCAGUUGCCCUGCAUCUACUGCCGCCUUCUUUUGGUGCCAUCACCGCAGCCGACACGAGCCACCUCACGCCAGCAACACAGAGCGCCGGCGAAGGAGAGUGUCUGCCGUCAUGCUUCAGCGGACAUCGUACGACUUCCAGCGCGCCCGACUUCCAACCGUCUUCUUUGACCCAUGUCACCCAUACUGCCUUGUCCUCGCUUGGAUUGCCGUCAGAAAAGUCGCUAGCCGCUGGUGCCACCGCCACUUCCGUGACUUCCGAACAUGGGCCAGCGGAGAAGGGAAGCGGGUGGAACGGCAAAUACGGAGACGAGCCCGCUCCGCGGUGCCGCAUGACAGCCGUGCUGGAAACUAAGACGACGCCUCUGAGUGCCCUGGCGUCAGACAUCCACCGUGAGCAUCCUCGGGCUCUCUCUGCACCUGCAGCCGCAACGGCACAGCAGCGUGGAGUGCGGAGGAGCAAUACCCACCGAAAUGUGCUUGACAGCCGCUGCCCUUUUCACGGCGGUACGCGGGGGCCGCCGUCGGUGUCGAUUAAUGAGGCUCUUGCAGAUGCCCUCCUUCUCCGUUGCGCGGCAUCAGAUGCGGUGGCGGAUACUGUGAUGUCGAUACCGCCGCUGGCCGCCUCUGCUCGACAGGAUUCGACAGACACUGCUUUCCGGCAGCUGGCCGCUCGCCGCCAUCAGGUCUCGCCUCCGCCAGCGCAGCCGCCGCUGCAAGAGCCCGAGGCACUGCUACCGCCACCGACGACCAGGGCGCCAAUGCAGCUUUCUGCGUCCUUCCCUGCUGGAGAGGUGCUGUCGCUGGACGGUACGCUGCGGAGCUGCGCCGACGACGCUGCCUUGGUUUCGAACAUGAGCAAGGAAUUGCCCUUGUCAACCACCGUGGCCUUUGCUGCCACGGCUGGAACAACGGCUUCUGCCCCCUUGUUUGACUCUCCUGCGGGCGUGGCAGGGGAGUUCUCCGCGAUGCGGAGGCGCGCAUACGGUGGCGUGCGGCCAGCGCCACCUGUCCAGCAGGCGCGGUUUGCAAAGCAAAACCCGCCGUGCUCGGCUCUCUCGAUGCGCCCAGAUGUGUUUCAACAUGGCGCUGACGCAAGGGCUGCUGCCGCACCUGCGACGCCCGCCGAUGGACGCACGGUCUCGACCUCGCCGCAGCGAGCUGCCCGCACUGCCGCCUCCAGUCAGGGGGGCGGCGUGCUUCCGCGCGACGACGGCACAGCAGCCCUGCAGCUGGUGCUGACCACGUCGCAGGAGUUUCUUGUGCCCUCUGAUCAGCGCAUGGGUGGCGGUGUGCCCGACGCACCACCGGCGGCGACAAUGGAAGCGGAGCCAGAACGGUACCCGCAGGCCUUAUGCGACAACCCUCCUGGGCAAGCAGCAGACACCGCCUCGCAGCUGCCCCAUCCCGCAAGCGAAAGCGUGACUGCCGUCCUCCAGCUGCCCGUGAACGCUGCUGCGUCUCCAGCAAAUCUCGUUGCCAACUCGCAAGCGCUCUCGGCGAACACCAGCAAGGAUCCUGUGGCGCGGAGCAGUGCGGCAGCACAACAGGCACCCUCACCUUCGCCCGCACCACAGCCUCCAACUGCGCAGAGAGAACUCGCGGCCUUGCAUGUGCUGCCCAUGCCCCGCAUCGCAGAGACUGCUCGUGCCACACAGCGGCACACGACGGUGUCGCUGUCUCGCUCUGUGGAGCGCUAUCCGGCAGUUUCAGGAGGAGCAGGCGAAGCACGUGGCGGCGCCAUCAUGUCACCUUGCCCAUCCGCGGCGUCUGUGAUGAGCAUUAACGUUAACACGAUUGCGGCCUCCCCUCACGCGCGCGCUUCAGCGUUCGAGCGGCGAGAUGCACCGAGCACGCCGAGAAGUACGAGCCACCAACGCAGCUCCACCAGCGUCAGGAACGAGCCUCGCGGUGUCGCGCGUAUCAUGUUGUCUGUCUCAGCAGCCCCGCUGUACUCCUUCGCGCACGUCACUCAUGGCGAGCAAGCGCAGACGGAGCCGUGCCGUCUUUUCAUGUGCUCCUCACCACCUCCUCGGCCACCUCCGCGUCGGGCAGCACACACGGCACCACUCCCCGUCUGUAUUACUGCUGCUUCUGCCGCCGCGUCAUCGUCGACUUCUUCUGAGACGACGCCACUGUGCAGGCCGGCGGAUGUGAGAGACGCAGUGGCAGAGGAUGGAGCCCUGCCCAUCAUACCAGCUACCAUCGACACGGCGGGCAGCAACGCAUCUUCGCUGGCGGCGAGUGAGCUGCUGGGUGUGCUGAAGGACUGGACUCCGACUCAACUAGCGGUGUCGCAGCCACUGCCAGCAUCUCAGCGAGCAGCAGCGGUGGUGGUGGUGGCGCCGGGUGCGGAUGUGGAGAAACCAUCGACAAGGGAGACACCUCUUCCCACUGCCGCCAACCCUGCAACGCAGGCGGAGGCUCUCGACACGCGCGCGAAGGUGCUUACCCGCACAACUCGUGCCAGUGACAUCGCCGAGACAGCAGCGAACUUGCGACAUAGAGACGCACGCGGCUUUUCUGCUGCGGCUUCUCCUGUCCAUCACAAUUGCCGAGGUUUACGUGUGGCGCUUCAGCGUGAUGACAGGCGUGGCACUGUAUUCGCUGCGGAAACGCCGCCCACAUCGCUACCGACACAUGUCGUGCCUGUCGCGGACAACCUGCUCAAGCACCCCACCACUGCCCCGCCAGAGCGCCGAGCUCGAGGAGGAGAGCUGUCAUCAUCGAUGGCCCCCAUCACUCGCCUGCCAGCAUCGGAGAGUGCGACUGCGACGCCGUUUGCAUGGAAUGGUAUGACAGCCGCAGGGGCACGGUCGAGGUUGCAGACCACAACAGCAACGCUAUACGCAGCAGCUGCCGCAAACGUGACGAAUGCCCUGCCAUUGUCAUCGGGCCCUUCCUGGGAGAGGAUGGAGCCGCUGCCCGUGGGCCAUCUUGCAUCUGCCACGCCAACUGUCACCCCGCUAAUGGCACGCACGCUUCCGUUGCAUUCAGUUCCGGCGAAGACGGCUGGAACGCGGCUUGCCAUCCCUCACUGCGUGCCAACGCCGCCCUCGCUUCCGUUGUCCUUCCAACAGCAGUGCACCCCUCGAGGGGCGGUCUUUACAAGUCUCAAGGCUGCCUCGCGGCAGCACCCUUCGCAGCCGGCGGCUCCGGGGCGCUUUCGCCAGCCCCCCGCACCUACCAUGCCGCGCCAACGAGAAGAAAGGGUACGCAACGGGUCUGCGAGUGGUGAAGCUCUCGCUACGCCCCCACAUACCCUGAUUGCCCAGCAGCUCGCCGGCGGCGCCGCGACCAGUACGUCCCACCAAGGUGAGGUGGUGUGGGAGGUGUUGCCUGGUACUCACAGCAGCAGCUGCGACUGGCCAAACCCGGCGCCGUCGUGCCCCUCCUCCGUAGCCUCCAGCCGCCUCCAGCGCCAUCAGCUGCAGGCGGGGUGGCGCAGCGGGCUGCCCCGCUCCCUGCCCUUCGUUGAUCUGACACGUGAUUCGAUGCCCAUAGAGAUGCUCGGCCCAAAACCAGAGGCAGCCAUGCGCCACAGGCCGUUCUCAACCGAGCUCGGCGGUGGUGACGAGACGACUUCUGGCGGCCCCAGUCGGCGCCAAGCUAGGCCAGUACCCCACCAAGAGUCGCAAGCCGCGCAGCGGAGCUCUCCGUCCCCUUGGCCGUGGUGGCGAGGGCAGCACGCCUUGACCCCAGGGCAGAGGCUGUCAGGGCGAGUGCAGCGUCACGGCGACGGCGCGCGCACUGGCGACUUCUUUGUUGCGUUACCGCCGAACCCCGACAUGGUAGACGGCGCCGACAACGCGGCAGCGCCGCAUUGCCGCCCCACACUUUCAUCCUCGGCAACAGCAGUGGCGGCUGGCGGAGUCGGCAGUGCUGAUGACGGAGGAGGGCUGGCCCCCACUGCUUAUUCUAUUCCAGCAGCACCUACGUCUCCGCGGCUGUGCACUGCGCACCUUGCAACGACACGAGAACGUGCUGGCGGGCGCGCUGGAGCUGCGGCCGCAAAGAGUGCAACAUCGGGAUGCGCCACCGCGGGCCAACCUCUGCAUCGUGUCGCUGCCGCCGCGCCGGCCGCGUCGCCAGGAACUACCACUGCGGCCGAAGCGGCGACGCUGGCGAGGACAUGCACCGGCUCGGGGCUGACGGGAGUCACGGACUACUACGGCGCCUACCAGCGUACGCAGCAGCCUCGCAGCACGAAAAGUGGCCCGCCACCGCCUUCACAGACGUUUCGCUUUCAGCCCUCGAUGGUCAUCGGCUCGCAGUCGCCACAGGAUAGUGGAGGAAGGGAGGCAAGAGGGAGUACGGGCACUGCCAGUAGACCCGGCUCGCAGCCAGUGGCGGAGGCUGGCAUGGCACUUCCGGACACCGCUGCUGCUGCUGCGGCAGGUUCGCAGGAGCCGCGCCGCCACUACUUCCAGAGCGGAACGCCGCUGCAACGAUACAGCGAUGGAACGAAUGCCGCACUACGUGACUGUGGCGGGGUCAAGGGUGACUGCGGGCCGCAACGCGCGCCGCGACUGACUCGGUCAUUGCUCGACCAGCUGCAGCGGAGCUACGCCGCGGUAGCUGAUGCAUCGUCUCGACCGCGCUACCUACCCAUCGACUUUCCCUUGAAGGAGGCACUCGUGGCAAGUUGGCACGACGCAAUACACCACGGUGCCCACAGCGGCAACGAUCCUAAUACUACACCAGCGAUGCUGCAGCGCCCGCGGCCUUCAUCCCCGUCCCGCGGACAAUGUGUGGAGAACGUACCGGCUGUGCUUCCCCAGAAGUGAGUGAACGGUUGCGUAUUCCUGUCAUGGACCCGACUCGCCACCGCCGCAGCUGCAUGCCACCGUCGCUGCCACUCCCAUGGUCACCCGCUCCGAAUCACCAAUUGCCGCCCAGCCGGAUCUCCCCGCAGCGGCGCAGCAGGAGCGGCUUUAUAUGCAGCGGUGCACUUCCUCUUCACCCUCCCCCGUCCCCGUCGCACCACCGCUGGUGGUGCGUGAGAGUUACGGCGCCGUGCUGCGGACACCCCACCCGCAGGCGCUGCCGUUCUUGAUGUCCUCUCAACAAGCUCAGCCCCGUCUUCUCCGGCGCAACCUUGUGGAGCAGCCGACUUGCAAGCACACCGCCCGCUCGAGUGCCGGCACCCGUAGCUCUACAAGAGAUGACCUUUGCGCCAGCGAAGAUCCUGGCAACGCCUCCGUCGCUGGCAUCACUGGAGCAUCAGCAGACGCCUGUGCUGACCGCCGUCGCCACCGUGUCUGCCGGACCGCCACCAAUGCCCUGGUCCCCGAAAGGCAACGGCCCAGGUGCUAACAGUGGGACGCUGGGCGUCACAGAGGUUUUCCCCAGGCAAGGGUCAUCCGGACCGCGCAUUAGCAAUUUUUUUCAUCUCUUCCGAGAGUCCCAAGGGCAGCGGCGCGGGUCGCUUAUUGAUAAGCUCAACUGAAGUGCGUGACAGCGUGCAAGAGGCGAGGGCCAGUGAGGGAGGACGGUGCCGCACAGUGUGCACGCAUGCAAACUCCCCCCUUCCCCUCAACACUCACUCGACACCCACCCAGAGUUAAUCUUCCUUUCUUCGUUUGUGCGCUUGCCUUGUCUUGGUGUGUGUGUGUGUGUGUGUGUGUGUGUGUGUAUGUGACGCAUCUGGGCGCUCCUGCGCACCGCACAUUUCGGUUGCGCUCCUUCCCCCUUCAUUUCUGCCUGUCUCCUGCCCGCUGCGUUUCUCGAGGGUGUACCGCGCAAAGCCCCUCUCUUGUUUCCUGGUUUGCCGUCCCGGAUUGCGCCUCCGGUACUCUGUCACCAUGCGCGUGUGCGCGCGUCGUAUACACACAUACACACGCCAUGCAUCUACAUAUAUUUAUUUAUAUAUAUAUAUGUGUGUGUGUGUGCGUGUGUGUUGAUCUCUCCCCAUUCAUUGUUUGGCCAGCUCCUCCCGCCGUCUUGCAACAAGCGCAGCACGAUCACAGCGCCGCGCGAAACAAACAGACACCCCUGCUCGCUCUUGUACUUGCCCUGCGCUGUUAUUCCUCGGUGCGAGUCUCCCCACCGCUCUCGCUCUCCGGCGCGCGUGCGGCAUCUCUUUUCAGGCAUGCACGCAGGCUAUACCUUCCUCCGUCCUUUUCCGCCUGCCCCUCCUCCCCCACGCCCUUUCGCAGCGCUAGUCUUGCUGUGACACCGACCGCCUUCGAACUCGGCGCGCUCGCGAUGGUGCGCUACGCUGGAUCGCCCUCUCAAGCACACGCGUGCAUGCAAAACAUAGAGGGGAUGGCUCGCCGACGUGCGAGCCCGAGACGGAGCACGUCGGCAAUGCCCUGGAAAUCUACUCUUUCCAUUGCUGCGGAUCUCUUCGUGAUGGACCUCUCCCGUCUUUGCUCACGGGCCCUCGCAUUUUUCAGGUCGUUCUCGCAUCUGCUUCUCCCUCCUCCCCCGGAUCACCGCCGCACCACUCACGCAACGGCUUUCUUUUAUAUCUGCACGCCGCACACGUGUGUGCACUGUGCCUGCCCUCACCUUUCGUUCUCUGGCAUCGAUGCGUUUUGCGCCUCCAUCGCCGUGUGGUCACGCUUCGCCUCAUCUCCCGCCUCUGCGCGACUGCGCCUGUAAAG